CAGUCGCCACGGGAAUACGUAGGUGGCAAGCGUUGUCCGGAAUUAUUGGGCGUAAAGGGCUCGCAGGCGGUUUCUUAAGUCUGAUGUGAAAGCCCACGGCUCAACCGUGGAGGGUCAUUGGAAACUGGAAAACUUGAGUGCAGAAGAGGAAAGUGGAAUUCCACGUGUAGCGGUGAAAUGCGUAGAGAUGUGGAGGAACACCAGUGGCGAAGGCGACUCUCUGGUCUGUAACUGACGCUGAGGAGCGAAAGCGUGGGGAGCGAACAGGAUUAGAUACCCGGGUAGUCCCUGUCUCUUAUAC
Molecule: ribosomal RNA, 301 nt
Filed under: uncultured bacterium
Lineage: Bacteria
Description: partial 16S ribosomal RNA
Rfam family: Bacterial small subunit ribosomal RNA
Source: RNAcentral